GCGGAGGAAAAGAAACUAACAAGGAUUCCCCUAGUAACGGCGAGUGAAGCGGGAAAAGCUCAAAUUUGAAAUCUGGCAGCCUCAGGUUGUCCGAGUUGUAAUCUAUAGAAACGUUUUCCGCGCUGGCCCAUGUACAAGUCCCUUGGAAUAGGGCGUCAUAGAGGGUGAGAAUCCCGUCCUUGACACGGACCACCAGUGCUUUGUGAUACGUUUUCAACGAGUCGAGUUGUUUGGGAAUGCAGCUCAAAAUGGGUGGUAAAUUCCAUCUAAAGCUAAAUAUUGGCGAGAGACCGAUAGCGAACAAGUACCGUGAGGGAAAGAUGAAAAGCACUUUGGAAAGAGAGUUAAACAGUAUGUGAAAUUGUUGAAAGGGAAACGAUUGAAGUCAGUCGUGUCUAUUGGACUCAGCCGGUUCUGCCGGUGUACUUCCUUUAGAUGGGGUCAACAUCAGUUUUGAUCGCUGGAAAAGGGCGGGAGGAAUGUAGCACUCUCGGGUGAACUUAUAGCCUUCCGUCGUAUACAGUGGUUGGGACUGAGGAACGCAGCAUGCCUUUAUGGCCGGGGUUCGCCCACGUACAUGCUUAGGAUGUUGACAUAAUGGCUUUAAACGACCCGUCU
Molecule: ribosomal RNA, 618 nt
Filed under: Solicoccozyma aeria
Lineage: Eukaryota; Fungi; Basidiomycota; Tremellomycetes; Filobasidiales; Piskurozymaceae
Description: eukaryotic LSU rRNA
Rfam family: Eukaryotic large subunit ribosomal RNA
Source: RNAcentral